UAAAUGUGUUUGGGAAAGUAAAAUAUUUGCUACAUUUGUACCCAACCUACCUGGGAGGAAGCAAUGAUAAUAGAAGUAUUUCAAAAUUCUAAUUUCAAUGUCAAAGUAGAAUCCUAAUACUUAAUGGAACGAGACUCAAGGAAAAAAAGUGUAUAUCGUCCCAAUGAAAUACCUGAAGUUCAAUUCUGUCAAUUGAUUGAGUAUUGGGAUGACGAAGAUGUCCAAGUAAGAUUAAACCGUGCAUUUCUACAUUUUCUACCUAUUGUUGCAGUAUAUAUUUUUUCCUUUUUAAUUUAUUAAUUAAUAUGCUUCUUUUGUUGUUAGUCUAUAUGCCAAUUAAAUUCUUAAAACAGGAAACAAAAAGUGAAGGCAUCGAAUGGGACUUAUUAAUUUUGCAAGAGUGCGUGUGGCAUUGGUAAUAUUUAGUCGACACUUUGUAAUCUGACUUUCAUUUCUUUUUAUACUUUAUCGGAACAUAAUGAUGUUUUUUAUAUCUUAUUUGAUGUAAUUUGUAGGGCGCAACCAAAGAGAACAACGAGGAAUCAUCAAAGUCUGAAAUGUUUAUUACAACUCGUACAAAGAAAGGGAAGGAAGUUCAUACAGAUACUCAAGUUGCAAUAGUAAGUCAUGCUGCAAGUUAAGUCUUGUUUGUAUUUUCUCUCUUUAACUGAAUGUGUUUAAGAGAAGUUUAACGAGAAGUUUAGCCAAGAACCAGUUUCUACACAUAAUCUCUACUUAGAAUGUAAGAACCUUCUGUUUUUUAGCAAGUUUUUAGGGCAUUAUGAAAGGAAGAACCCUUACUCUUUUUAUAUCAAUUUGACAUGAGUAUGUCAAGAAGAUUUUAUGUGAUAUAGUUGGAAACUUAUUUCCCUAAUGUCACGACUCGGAUUUUCCACCUUCGCAGUCGUGAUGACACCUACUAAUGUGAGCUCGACAAGCUAAUCCUUUAAACUAAAUAGGGAACCAAAGUCCAACUACUAACACAGAUAAGAAAACCAAAGGUAGAUUUUACUUUCACAUCUUG
RNAcentral lists this long non-coding RNA (1024 nucleotides) under Nicotiana tabacum (common tobacco). RNAcentral's name for it is "long non-coding RNA (NTAB_LNC012188)". Lineage: Eukaryota; Viridiplantae; Streptophyta; Magnoliopsida; Solanales; Solanaceae. The record is from RNAcentral.